CAUUUGACGAGUAAAAAGCCGAAGAAAGGUGUUGUGCGCGUUCAGCCGUUUUUAGUGUCGGUCGCCGUAAAAAAAUCUAUUGUAUUUUAGUAAAUAAAUUAUUGGUCAAUAUAAAAAAUAACAAAAAAAAUUUAGUUUUCCAACAAAAAAAGAUAAUUUCAACAAAAUUAUCUAGAAAUAUAAAUGAUUAACAAGUGAUGACGAAAUUUUCGAUGAUUAAAAUUUAUAAAAAAGAAAGAUAAAGAAAAAAUAGUUCAUUAUUAUUUUUUGUUAAAAUAACAACAAAAUUUUCUUUAACUUGUUUUACAACUA
This is a long non-coding RNA of Lucilia sericata (common green bottle fly), 312 nucleotides long. RefSeq lists it as uncharacterized. NCBI's taxonomy places the organism in Eukaryota, Metazoa, Arthropoda, Insecta, Diptera, Calliphoridae. The record is from RefSeq and is a predicted model, not a curated record. The transcript is spliced from 2 exons.